CAAUAGCGUAUAUUUAAGUUGUUGCAGUUAAAAAGCUCGUAGUUGGAUUUCGGAUGGGAUUUGCCGGUCCGUCGUUACGAUGUGCACUGGCCAGUCCUAUCUUGUUGUCGGGGACUAGCUCCUGGGCUUCACUGUCCGGGACUAGGAGCUGACGAGGUUACUUUGAGUAAAUUAGAGUGUUCAAAGCAAGCCUACGCUCUGAAUACAUUAGCAUGGAAUAACACGAUAGGACUCUGGCUUAUCUUGUUGGUCUGUGAGACCAGAGUAAUGAUUAAGAGGGACAGUCGGGGGCAUUCGUAUUUCAUUGUCAGAGGUGAAAUUCUUGGAUUUAUGAAAGACGAACUUCUGCGAAAGCAUUUGUCAAGGAUGUUUUCAUUA
RNAcentral lists this ribosomal RNA (378 nucleotides) under uncultured eukaryote. RNAcentral's name for it is "partial 18S ribosomal RNA". It matches the Rfam family "Eukaryotic small subunit ribosomal RNA", at positions 592 to 975 of the family's 1831-position model. The record is from RNAcentral.